CCCAAUGCUAUCGAGGUGGGACUAAGCCAUGCUAGUCGAACGACCCCGGACCACGGCGGGGAAGUGGCGGACUGCUCAGUAACACGUAGCUAACCUACCCUCGGGACGGAGACAACCCCGGGAAACUGGGGCUAAUCCCCGAUAGGCGUGGAGGCCUGGAAUGGUUCCACGCCCAAAGGUCUGCGCGCCCAUGUCGCGCGCCGACGCCCGAGGAUGGGGCUGCGGCCGAUCAGGCUGUUGGUGAGGUAAAGGCUCACCAAACCUUUGACCGGUACGGGCCGUGAGAGCGGUAGCCCGGAGAUGGGCACUGAGACAGGGGCCCAGGCCCUACGGGGCGCAGCAGGCGCGAAACCUCCACAAUGCACGCAAGUGCGAUGGGGCUACCUCGAGUGCCGCCUGAAGAAGGCGGCUUUUCCACGGUGUAAUGAGCCGUGGGAAUAAGAGGGGGGCAAGACUGGUGUCAGCCGCCGCGGUAACACCAGCCCCUCGAGUUGUGGGGACGUUUAUUUGGCCUAAAGCGUCCGUAGCCGGCCCGGUAAGUCCCUCGUUAAAUCCAGCGUCCCAAGCGCUGGGCCGCGAGGGAGACUGCCAGGCUAGAGGGUGGAAGAAGUCAGCGGUAUUCCUGGGGUAGGGGCGAAAUCCUUUGAUCCCAGGAGGACCACCAGUGGCGAAGGCUGCUGACUAGUACACGCCUGACGGUCAGGGACGAAAGCUGGGGGAGCGAAUCGGAUUAGAUACCCGAGUAGUCCCAGCCGUAAACGAUGCAGGCUAGGUGUUGGGGCGGCCACGCGCCGCCUCAGUGCCACAGGGAAGCCAUUAAGCCUGCCGCCUGGGAAGUACGGCCGCAAGGCUGAAACUUAAAGGAAUUGGCGGGGAGCACAACCAGGCGUGAAGCCUGCGGUUUA
This 905-nucleotide ribosomal RNA is filed under the name uncultured archaeon. Its description in RNAcentral is "bacterial SSU rRNA". It matches the Rfam family "Archaeal small subunit ribosomal RNA", at positions 23 to 904 of the family's 1478-position model. The record is from RNAcentral.